UCUAUCUCAUUUACAUUAAUUUGUUAUCUCUCUCUUUCACACAUCAGAAGAAGCAUUCCAAUGUACAAUUGCAUUUUUAGUCAGAGUUAGAAAUGAUAGUCAUGACUGCAGUUGCUUGAAAACAUGACAUGGUCUGGUAAUACAAAAAGUGUUCGGGAGUAAUAAGCAGAUUAUUAUUAUGUAAUUUUGUUUGUAUCCUCUUUUUGUUCUCUAGCUACUCGUUUUGAGGCAGCUCGUAAACUUAAUGCGUUACUGAGGGAAAAUGAACCAGCAGACCUGACCAAGAGGGCACCAGUCCACCCUAAAAACAAUCAGGAUGAUUCUGAUGACUCAGAUCCAGAUGACACUCAGAUUCUGUUGCAGCCUUUGCAAGUCAAGAAGUCAAAGGCUCUCACAAGGAAAGACCCUGCAAAGGAAUUCCUUGCAAUGUACAGUCAUUCACCGCUUUCAGUCACUGACUGUGACCAAAGUCCAAAAAAGGAUGAACUUAAGCGAGAGAUCCAAGACCUGAAAGAAGAGAAUGCCAAACUGAGGGAGUUGCUUGUAGAAGAUGUGCCCAAACUCAUGAAGACUAUGAAAAAUGUGAUUGAUUUAGCUGACCCUCUUAAGAGAUCAAGUUUUGAGCUCCCCCAGAGUUCUACACAGUCCAGGCCGGGUUCAUCAUCUGAUGAUUCACAGAUGCCCAUUUCCAAAUCUGUUCCAUCUGUCUCAUCAGAGUCUGUCACUCCAUCUACAAGAGAGUCCCAGUCGUCAAAGGUGGAGAUCCAUCC
Molecule: long non-coding RNA, 770 nt
Organism: Fundulus heteroclitus (mummichog)
Lineage: Eukaryota; Metazoa; Chordata; Actinopteri; Cyprinodontiformes; Fundulidae
Exons: 4
Source: RefSeq, a predicted model, not a curated record